Solanum pennellii is the source of this 1542-nucleotide RNA transcript. RefSeq lists it as uncharacterized. The record is from RefSeq and is a predicted model, not a curated record. The transcript is spliced from 5 exons. Lineage: Eukaryota; Viridiplantae; Streptophyta; Magnoliopsida; Solanales; Solanaceae.
UCUAGAGCAUUUUGGAAGAGCUUUUGAAACGUGAUAUUCACGUGUAAUACGUUAUAGUUUUUUCUCAAAACAAUAAUAUUUUAAUUUAUUUUUUCUUAAUACCAGGUUUCAUACCGUGGAUUUUGGCUCCCGGUUUUUGUUUCUCUGUUUUCUCCUCCAAGUGUUUUCAGGUGUAUUUUUUCAUGGGCAUAGAAGAAAUUGGGUGAAAUUUACUAAUUUUCUCUCGAAUUUUCCGCAACAAUUUUGUUUUCAGGUGUAUUUUUUCAUGGGCGUAGAAGAAUUUGGUGAAUUUACUAAUUAUCUCUCGAAUUCUGCGCAGCAUUUUGUUUUCAGGUUUAUUUUUUCAUGGGCGUAGAAGAAAUUGGGUGAAUUUACUAAUUUUCUCUCGAAUUCUCCGCAGCAUUUUGGUAAGUUUGAUCUACCUGCACUUCAAUUUGAUAUCGAUACUUUGAAUCUAUGAUAAAUGUUGUUUUUGUUGCAGUUUUCAUGUAUUUUUUUUCACUGUUUAAGCAAGUUCAGGGGUAAUUGAAACAAAAUAAAGUUUAGGUGUACAUUGAAUAAAAAGCUUCAAGUUCAGGGGUAAUGAAUACUUUUGCCAAAAAACAACCAAACAUCUUGCUUAUAGUAUCAAUUAACACGCAUGCAUAUUUUUUGGUCUUUUUCCUAGGUAAAAAGAUGAAGUAAAAUCUGAAAAAGUUGAUAUUUAGGCUCUGGACUCGUAGUUUAUUGUUGUCUUCUUUUUCUUGAAUUUUUAGAUGCUAUUCUCUUUCUUCUGAGAAACAGGCCAACUAAACUGACCAGUGCUAUUAAUAUCUUGUGCUACAAAUUAAUGUUGGUGUUUAUAUCAAAGGAUUUACUAAGUUAUUGUUUCAUCCUUUUUGUCUUUGCUAAAAUUAUAACUGAUGAACUCCUUAUGAAUUUGGUGUCAAAUUCUUUACUCUUUUUCUUUUUGAACUAUUAAAUUCGUAUUUGUCAUUACAUUCUCCUAUUUCUCGUGCAAUUGGUUUCUAUAUUUUUGGUCGACAGUUCAGACAAACUCUAUAAAUAUAAUUGGAGACGCAUAUAACAAAAUCAGUCUACUAGUUCUUAUAUUUGAUCGUCGUUAUGAACAUUGGAGGACAAAGGAGAAUAGCUUGAGAAGGAUAUAUAAAAGAGGUUUUAAUAGGUGGAGAGGGGGAGGAGAAUGGGAACGAGAACUGGGAAAUUAGGGGAGUAAUUAUAAGCUUUGGAAUCGAAGGUCACCAACAUGAUCAGGUCUUGGCACUUUUGGUAUUUAUCAUCGGGCAUUCUUGUUCUAUUGCUCAACUUAUUAGUUAUGUUUACUUCCUAUUUUCUUCUUUUGUAUACCUAAAUUUAUUGUAUUUUCUUCGUGGGUCUUUCAGAGAACAUUCUUUCUAUCUUCACGAGUUAGUGGUCGAGUUAGUGGUAAAGCAUGCAUACACUAUAUUCUACUGUGGCUGUGACUCCAUCAAUAUGAUGUUUUAUGUUCAAAUCACCACUAUAAUGUCAUUUCAUAAUGAAUUGCUCUUUUAGUAUUGAAAA